CGCGUAGGCGGCCUGUUAAGUCGAACGUGAAAUCCCCGGGCUCAACCCGGGAACUGCGUCCGAUACUGGCAGGCUUGAAUUCGGGAGAGGGAUGCGGAAUUCCAGGUGUAGCGGUGAAAUGCGUAGAUAUCUGGAGGAACACCGGUGGCGAAGGCGGCAUCCUGGACCGACAUUGACGCUGAGGCGCGAAAGCCAGGGGAGCAAACG
RNAcentral lists this ribosomal RNA (207 nucleotides) under uncultured bacterium. RNAcentral's name for it is "partial 16S ribosomal RNA". It matches the Rfam family "Bacterial small subunit ribosomal RNA", at positions 568 to 774 of the family's 1533-position model. The record is from RNAcentral.